GUGCUUUAUAAAAAAUUGUACAUUUUAAAUUGUUGUUUACCUAAAAUAUGGAUAUAAAUAUAAAUUCAUUAAUUAGCAAUGAAAAUACUAAACUGACGUUUUAAGUGGAAAUGCAAUUUGAAUUUAAAGAUGAAGUGAGAAUGUUGUAAUUAACAAUUAUUUAACUAUUUUAUUAGUAGGAAACAAUUAUUUUUAGCAUCGAUUCCUGUCGAGGCUGUCGACCAAGAUUUAAUUUUGGCGCGUUUUUAAUCGAAAUGCCACGAUACGAUACGAGACGUGCAGGCGCAUGCGUGCUGGACUACUGGUGUGAACGCGUGUGCGCGUAAUGGCGGACGGCAGCAAAAAGUAACUCUAGCAUUUCCGGGGUGAUUCUUGUUAAUUUCGGCCGUGGCAACAAAUUUUUCAAAGUGAGUAUAAAUCUGCAUUAUUUUAUUACAAUUUUGGUGUUGGGAACUGUCUUUAUUAUUUAGAUGAAUUGUUACGUUGGCGUUGAAUUCCAGAACAAUGGUGGAAUUUCUCUUGUUCACUCUGCCUGGUUAACACCGCUUAAACGAGAAGUCUUUUGGCCGCCAAAACAGACAACCGGAAAUUUUAUAAAAUUAUUAAAAUCUGGACAAGAGCCUCCCCAGGAUAACAGCUGGAAACUUCACCAAAUUAAGCGAAUUUUUUUCCAGACUGGUUAGUUUUGCUGCCUAAACCUAAACUGCUUUAUCACUUUCUAUUAAAUAUCUGUGAUUUUUUUCAAAAAACUCGUAUUUAUUACUUGUUUUUAGACGACUAUAAGAUUGCGGAGAAAAAAAUUAAAAAGGCUGAAAUUACCUCAGAUUUAACUACAGAUGCUGAGGAAUCAGCAAUUAUUUCACCUCGAAGGAAAAUACGUCCAAAGAAAUUUUCCACUGAUGAUGAGCAGGAAGAAGUGCUGUCAUCAUCAGAAGAUGAUUUUCCAAAAAACAAGAAACCCCUACCUAGACCAAAACCAAUAAUACGGAAGUCUAUUACAAACAUAUUAUCUGGUAAUGAGAUUUAUACUUAAAGAUAUCUGGCACAUAUAAAUUAUUAACUGUCUACUGUUUUAGAUUAUUCUGGCCCAAUUCAAACUUUUCCAUUAGCUUCAGCUGGACAAUCGCAAAGGUCGUUUGAGGAUAGUGAUUCUACAAAUCAACUUUAUUAUUUGCCACCUCAACAUUCAGCAAAAGAUACUCAAUUGACUAAAUCUUCAGGACAAAUUAUUAGAGGUUCUGCGUCAAAUCAGUCAUUUUGCCAGGCUGCUGUUUCGAACUCGUCACCAUAUAAUCCGUCAAGUAGUAAAGCAACUGAUGUACAGAGCAACAUCAGAGCUGUAGUGGAAAGUAAUGGAGCAAACACUCAAGAUGAUGUAAUCACUUUAUUGAAGACCAUUAGAGAACAGAACAAUCAAAUUUUGCAGUGGAUCCGAAAACAAGAUCGCAGUGGCAAUCACGCCAGUAAUACAGAUUUACCAGAUGAUAUAGGCG
Long non-coding RNA from Diorhabda sublineata, 1493 nucleotides. RefSeq lists it as uncharacterized. NCBI's taxonomy places the organism in Eukaryota, Metazoa, Arthropoda, Insecta, Coleoptera, Chrysomelidae. The record is from RefSeq and is a predicted model, not a curated record. The transcript is spliced from 3 exons.